GCAAGUCGAACGGUGAAGCCCAGCUUGCUGGGUGGAUCAGUGGCGAACGGGUGAGUAACACGUGAGCAACCUGCCCUCCACUUCGGGAUAAGCCUUGGAAACGGGGUCUAAUACCGGAUAUGAGCAUUCACCGCAUGGUGGGUGUUGGAAAGUUUUUCGGUGGGGGAUGGGCUCGCGGCCUAUCAGCUUGUUGGUGGGGUGAUGGCCUACCAAGGCGUCGACGGGUAGCCGGCCUGAGAGGGCGACCGGCCACACUGGGACUGAGACACGGCCCAGACUCCUACGGGAGGCAGCAGUGGGGAAUAUUGCACAAUGGGCGAAAGCCUGAUGCAGCGACGCCGCGUGAGGGAUGACGGCCUUCGGGUUGUAAACCUCUUUCAGCAGGGAAGAAGGCCUUCGGGUGGACGGUACCUGCAGAAGAAGCGCCGGCUAACUACGUGCCAGCAGCCGCGGUAAUACGUAGGGCGCAAGCGUUGUCCGGAAUUAUUGGGCGUAAAGAGCUCGUAGGCGGUUUGUCGCGUCUGGUGUGAAAUCCCGAGGCUCAACCUCGGGCUUGCAUCGGGUACGGGCAGACUAGAGUACUGUAGGGGAGACUGGAAUUCCUGGUGUAGCGGUGGAAUGCGCAGAUAUCAGGAGGAACACCGAUGGCGAAGGCAGGUCUCUGGGCAGUUACUGACGCUGAGGAGCGAAAGCAUGGGGAGCGAACAGGAUUAGAUACCCUGGUAGUCCAUGCCGUAAACGUUGGGCACUAGGUGUGGGGCUCAUUCCACGAGUUCCGUGCCGCAGCUAACGCAUUAAGUGCCCCGCCUGGGGAGUACGGCCGCAAGGCUAAAACU
RNAcentral lists this ribosomal RNA (836 nucleotides) under Isoptericola sp. JSM 077025. Its description in RNAcentral is "bacterial SSU rRNA". It matches the Rfam family "Bacterial small subunit ribosomal RNA", at positions 57 to 901 of the family's 1533-position model. The record is from RNAcentral. Lineage: Bacteria; Bacillati; Actinomycetota; Actinomycetes; Micrococcales; Promicromonosporaceae.